ACUCCUACGGGAGGCAGCAGUGAGGAAUAUUGGUCAAUGGAGGGAACUCUGAACCAGCCAUCCCGCGUGUAGGAAGACGGCCUUAUGGGUUGUAAACUACUUUUAUACAGGAAGAAACGUACCCUCGUGAGGGUGCCUGGACGGUACUGUGAGGAAUAAGCACCGGCUAAACGUCCAAGUGCCAGCCGAGCCGCCGGGUUCAAUACGGCAGGGGUAGCGAGGCGGUUAUCCGGAUUUAUUGGGUUUCGAAAUGGUGUAGCCGUAGGCGGGAUUAAUAAGUCAGUGGUGAAAUCCCAUCGCUUAACGAUGGAACUGCCAUUGAUACUGUUAGUCUUGAAUGAGGGUGCAGUGGUUGGAAUGUGUAGUGUAGCGGUGAAAUGCAUAGAUAUUACACAGAACACCGAUUGCGAAGGCAGAUCACUAACCCUAAAUUGACGCUGAGGGACGAAAGCGUGGGGAGCGAACAGGAUUAGAUACCCUGUAGGCUCUG
RNAcentral lists this ribosomal RNA (490 nucleotides) under uncultured bacterium. RNAcentral describes it as "bacterial SSU rRNA". It matches the Rfam family "Bacterial small subunit ribosomal RNA", at positions 335 to 798 of the family's 1533-position model. The record is from RNAcentral.